RNAcentral lists this ribosomal RNA (490 nucleotides) under uncultured bacterium. RNAcentral describes it as "partial 16S ribosomal RNA". It matches the Rfam family "Bacterial small subunit ribosomal RNA", at positions 30 to 507 of the family's 1533-position model. The record is from RNAcentral.
AUUGAACGCUGGCGGCAGGCCUUACACAUGCAAGUCGAACGGCAGCACGAACUUGCUCGCUUCUUUGCUUACCGGUCGCGUGCGUGAUAGUACUGACCGGGCAAAUUACUGAUGGAGGGCGCUACCUACUCGGAAUGGUUGCCGAAUACGAAUUGAGUGGGAAGACCGAAGAGCGUGGCCUUUCGGGCUAUUGCAAUGGGCUGUGGCCAAAUGGGAUUAGCUAGUGGGUGGGGUAACGGCCUACCUAGGCGACGAUCCGUAGCUGGUCUGAGAGGAUGACCAGCCACACUGGAACUGAGACACGGUCCAGACUCCUACGGGAGGCAGCAGUGGGGAAUAUUGGACAAUGGGCGCAAGCCUGAUGCAGCAAUGCCGCGUGUAUGAUGAAGGCCUUCGGGUUGUAAAGUACUUUUGGCGGGGAGGAAAAGAAUUAUGCUAAUACCUCGGUUCAAUGACGGUACCCGCAGAAGAAGCACCGGCUAACUCCGUG